This 460-nucleotide ribosomal RNA is filed under the name uncultured bacterium. Its description in RNAcentral is "partial 16S ribosomal RNA". It matches the Rfam family "Bacterial small subunit ribosomal RNA", at positions 338 to 795 of the family's 1533-position model. The record is from RNAcentral.
CCUACGGGUGGCAGCAGUGAGGAAUAUUGGUCAAUGGACGAGAGUCUGAACCAGCCAAGUAGCGUGAAGGAUGACUGCCCUAUGGGUUGUAAACUUCUUUUAUAUGGGAAUAAAAUGUUCCACGUGUGGGAUUUUGUAUGUACCAUAUGAAUAAGGAUCGGCUAACUCCGUGCCAGCAGCCGCGGUAAUACGGAGGAUCCGAGCGUUAUCCGGAUUUAUUGGGUUUAAAGGGAGAGUAGGUGGAUUGUUAAGUCAGUUGUGAAAGUUUGCGGCUCAACCGUAAAAUUGCAGUUGAAACUGGCAGUCUUGAGUACAGUAGAGGUGGGCGGAAUUCGUGGUGUAGCGGUGAAAUGCUUAGAUAUCACGAAGAACUCCGAUUGCGAAGGCAGUUCACUGGACUGCAACUGACACUGAGGCUCGAAAGUGUGGGUAUCAAACAGGAUUAGAUACCCGAGUAGUC